GGCAUUUUAUUACAGCCAUUGAUCAGUAGCAUACUAGCACAGAAAGCAGACACAAGUUCUCUUUAAACUCUAAAUUGUCAUCAUCAGAUUAGAUUAGAUUAGCAAACAGAAAAUCUUACAACUUAAGAUUUCAACAUUUCUUCCUAAAUACUUUAGGGUGUUAAUACAACAACGAACUUUUUGUGCUCACUGACAUCUGCUCGUCUUUAAUCCCCUUCAAUAACUUCAACACUUCAAGCAUAGCAGGCCUAUCAGCAGGAUUAUCAGACAGGCAACUCGAAGCAAUCUUCAGCACUCGAAGCAUCAUCCGCUUUGAAUCUGCGCGUAGAACAGUUGGAUCAAGAACAUCAGCAGCCUGCCCCUUUUUAAUCUUUUGAAACACCCAACCAACCAAAUUCCCGCCUUCGACCUCUUUGAAAUCUGGUCCAGUUGGCUCUUUCCCAGUCACCAAUUCAAGCAGAAUUACACCAAAGCUGUACACAUCUCCUCUUGUGGUCGACCUCCCACUCUGUCCAUACUCUGGUGGAAUGUAUCCAAAAGUUCCAGCAAUCUCAGUGCUAACAUGAGUCUCACAAGCACUGAUCAAUCUCGCCAACCCAAAGUCAGCAACUUUUGGCUCAAAAUCUUCAUUUAGUAAGAUAUUGCUGGCCUUGAUAUCCCUGUGGAUGAUGUGAGGGAUGAAUCCAUGGUGGAGAAAUGCUAGCCCACGUGCAGCACCAAUAGCAAUUUUGAAGCGUUUGGCCCAAUCAAGGAUUUCAAGAGCCCCAGUCCGAUUUCUCAGCCAAAGAUCUAAACUCCCAUUCACCAUAUAUUCAUAAACAAGAAGCUUUUCCUCAUCAAAAGAGCAGUAUCCAAGUAAAGGGACUAGAUUCUGGUGCUUCACCUUGCCCAAAGUUUCCAUUUCAGCUAUGAAUUCUCGGUUACCCUGUGUUUUGGCUUGGCUUAGCUUCUUAACAGCAACCGUUUUCCCAUCAGGCAGUGUGGCCCUGUACACUGUACCAAAACCUCCAUCUCCAAUGAUGUUUGUCUUGCAAAAGUUAUUAGUAGCUUCAAGGAUAUCAACUAAGGUUAUUUUCAGAAGGGGCUGCUCAAACAUAGCUACAUUGAUGCUCAAAGGUUCCUUCGAUCUGCUGCUACUUAAGAAGUAAAGAUUUUGAUCAAUAAAACUGUUUAAUUUGCUUUCUUCAAUUUCCUCAGGAUCACCCUGUUCGCUAGCUCUAGUAAUCCAUCUUCUUAGAGCAAAGGCUAUAGUAAGAAUGAUAAUCAUGCAGCCAACAGCAACCCCUGCAAUUCCCCAGGCACUUAGCAAAGAUGACCCGUCAAAGCUUCCAAUCCUACAAUCUGAACCAAUAACUCUUCCGCACAGAUUUUUGUUGCCAGAGAGUGAAACUUUUGACAGGCUUAGGCAAACCCCACUUCUGGGUACAGGCCCUUCCAAACUGUUUUCUGCCAGAUUCAGGUAGAAUAGAUUAACAAGGGUACAUAUUUUGUCUGGAAUCCGCCCAGAUAACCUAUUACCUGAAAUAUCAACGUAUUCAAGUUGCAUCAUGUUCCCAAGCUCCGGAGGAAUCUCUCCUGAAAACUUAUUUUCAUGAAGAUCCAAGCAUGUCAAGUACGAAAGAUUGCCCAAAGAUUGUGGCAAGAAUCCAUCAAAUAAAUUAUUGCUCAAAUUCAUAGUUUCUAUCCUCCAAGCAAUGGAAUUGGACAACAGCUCAUCUAUAGGCCCAGAAAGCCUAUUCUGCUGAACGUAAAGCCCCACAAGAUUCAGCAUUUGCGACAAUGAUGAAGGAAGCUGACCACCAAGCUCAUUAUUGCUUAAAUCCAAGUGGGUAAGCUCUUUCAAGUUGCCGAAACGAAGAGGAACAGAUCCAUAUAACUUGUUACCUGUCAAAUUCAGUUUCACUAAACUACCCAAACGACCUAAUGUUCCGGGGAUAGUACCUGAGAGCUGAUUAUUCCCCAAAUAUAAACCCUGAAGCUUAGAAGAGUGACCAAAUUCUGGUGGAAUGGAACCACUCAACAAAUUUCCAGAUAAAUCCAAGGUUGUAAGAUUGGUUAACCUGGAAAGUGAUCCUGGAAUUUCACCAGAGAGCUGAUUAUUGUUAAUUAGCAGAUCAACCACCACCACAAGGUUCCCCAAUUCCCCAGGUAUCAAACCAGACAACAUAUUAUGUGACAAAUCAAACACUCCGUGGUGUUGAAUAAAGCUCAAAUCAGGUAUAUUAGCCUCACGAAAAUAUAAAGAAGGCUUCGAAGGAAUGGGACCAGAUAAAUUAUUGUGAGAAAGAACCAAGCAUUGUAGUUGAACCAAAUCUGCAAGUUUCUCCGGAAUUGAACCGUUAAGCCAAUUAUUUCCCAGGUCCAAAGUGGUUAGUGCAAUGCAAUCUCCAAG
Molecule: unclassified non-coding RNA, 2392 nt
Filed under: Hevea brasiliensis (rubber tree)
Lineage: Eukaryota; Viridiplantae; Streptophyta; Magnoliopsida; Malpighiales; Euphorbiaceae
Source: RNAcentral